AUUGAACGCUGGCGGCAGGCCUAACACAUGCAAGUCGAACGAGUGGCGGACGGGUGAGUAAUGUCUGGGAAACUGCCUGAUGGAGGGGGAUAACUACUGGAAACGGUAGCUAAUACCGCAUACCAUCAGAUGUGCCCAGAUGGGAUUAGCUUGUGGGUGGGGUAACGGCUCACCAAGGCGACGAUCCCUAGCUGGUCUGAGAGGAUGACCAGCCAAACUGGAACGGGGACACGGCCCAGACUCCUACGGGAGGCAGCAGUGGGGAAUAUUGGACAAGGGGCGCAAGCCGGAUGCAGCCAGGCCGGGGUUAUGAAGAAGGCCUGCGGUUUGUAAAGUACGUUCAGCGGGGAGGCGUUACCCGCAGAAGAAGCACCGGCUAACUCCGUGCCAGCAGCCGCGGUAAUAC
Molecule: ribosomal RNA, 406 nt
Filed under: uncultured bacterium
Lineage: Bacteria
Description: partial 16S ribosomal RNA
Rfam family: Bacterial small subunit ribosomal RNA
Source: RNAcentral